Long non-coding RNA from Humulus lupulus (European hop), 373 nucleotides. RefSeq lists it as uncharacterized. Lineage: Eukaryota; Viridiplantae; Streptophyta; Magnoliopsida; Rosales; Cannabaceae. The record is from RefSeq and is a predicted model, not a curated record. The transcript is spliced from 4 exons.
UAUUACUAGGCACAAAAAAACCUUGAAAACAACACCUCAGGCGCACUACAUAUUCCCCAGGACUAGCUAGUGAUGGGUGGCAUUCUCAGCUGUAGUAGUGGACAAAAUGUGCCAUCCAUUGGAAAGUCCAAGAAAUCCUCAAUGCCUUCUGGAUAGGUCAAAAAUUUGAAUGUUGGAGACUUGUUUUUGCUCCCAUAACUGAUUUUGCUUCAAAUCAUGGCCUAAUCCCAACAAUUCUCUAUGGGUGAGCAAUUUUGACAGACUUGCCAAAUUCCAGGAAUAAAAAGCUUCAGCAUUCAAAUUUUGAAAAAUCUUCAGAAGACAAGCAUGAUGUUGGUGCAAAUGGCAGUUCGGUAGCCCUUGUUGCAGAAAG